This 411-nucleotide ribosomal RNA is filed under the name Rhizophagus fasciculatus. RNAcentral describes it as "partial large subunit ribosomal RNA". The record is from RNAcentral. Lineage: Eukaryota; Fungi; Glomeromycota; Glomeromycetes; Glomerales; Glomeraceae.
AGAGUUAAAUAGUACGUGAAAUUGUUGAAAGGGAAACGAUUGAAGCCAGUCGUACUGGCGGGCAAUCAGCCUUUUGGGUAUGAUUAUGUGGGGCUUGAGGAGUUAAUCACCCUCAUCUUUGCAUAUUUGUGCACUUUGGGUGUACUUGCUCGUGUGGUAGGUUAACAUCAAUUUCGGACGUCAUAAAAUGACGGGAGGAAUGUAGCUUCGGUCUCGGCUGAAGUGUUAUAGCCUUUGGUAGAUGUGGCGAUCGAGACUGAGGAUUGCAACGGAUACCCUUCGGGGCUACCCGUCUGAUCUCUGAGAGUUACUCUGGUGCUGAAAGCGUGCUUACGGUAUCAAAGUUGACGUUCAAUAGGUUAGAACGGGUUAAAUUCGUUAAGGAUGUUGACGUAAUGGCUUUAAACGACC